AGGUACCGUCACACACAUACCCUUACGAAUAUAUGUCGUUCGUCCCUACCUACAGGGGUUUACACACCAUAGUGCUUCAUCCCCCACGCGGCGUUGCUGCGUCAGAGUUGCCUCCAUUGCGCAAUAUUCCUCA
RNAcentral lists this ribosomal RNA (133 nucleotides) under uncultured bacterium. Its description in RNAcentral is "partial 16S ribosomal RNA". The record is from RNAcentral.